UACAGAGGGUGCAAGCGUUGUUCGGAAUUAUUGGGCGUAAAGCGCGUGUAGGCGGCUUGUUAAGUCGGGUGUGAAAGCCCUCAGCUCAACUGAGGAAGGGCGCCCGAAACUGGCGAGCUUGAGUGUCGGAGAGGAUGGCGGAAUACCCCAAGUAGAGGUGAAAUUCGUAGAUAUGGGGUGGAACACCGGUGGCGAAGGCG
Molecule: ribosomal RNA, 200 nt
Filed under: uncultured bacterium
Lineage: Bacteria
Description: partial 16S ribosomal RNA
Rfam family: Bacterial small subunit ribosomal RNA
Source: RNAcentral